This 253-nucleotide ribosomal RNA is filed under the name uncultured bacterium. RNAcentral describes it as "partial 16S ribosomal RNA". It matches the Rfam family "Bacterial small subunit ribosomal RNA", at positions 524 to 776 of the family's 1533-position model. The record is from RNAcentral.
UACGUAGGGUGCGAGCGUUAAUCGGAAUUACUGGGCGUAAAGCGUGCGCAGGCGGUUUUGUAAGCCGGAUGUGAAAUCCCCGGGCUCAACCUGGGAAUGGCAUUUGGGACUGCAAGGCUUGAGUGCGGCAGAGGAGACUGGAAUUCCUGGUGUAGCAGUGAAAUGCGUAGAUAUCAGGAGGAAUACCGAUGGCGAAGGCAGGUCUCUGGGCUGACACUGACGCUCAUGCACGAAAGCGUGGGGAGCAAACAGG